Cyprinus carpio carpio is the source of this 1169-nucleotide long non-coding RNA. Lineage: Eukaryota; Metazoa; Chordata; Actinopteri; Cypriniformes; Cyprinidae. The record is from Ensembl.
GGUACUAUUUUAUAUUAAUGCACUUUGAAAUUAAAAUUAUUUUUGCAGUAUAAAACUACACAAGACAUUUAAAUAUAACGUGGCAAAUCACUAAAGUAAUUUCACCUUGCCAAUAAAACUGAUCAGAAAUCUAAUUCUGACUGAUGCAUGUGUGUUUGAGGAACAGCAGCUCCCUCUAUGGGUGCAACCUCAAAAAUACACCAAACAAGCCUGUUUUCAGUUCACUUGAGUUUCUUAUGAUAGUUCAGUUCUUCAGUUUUAAAUCACAGCAGUCUCGCGCGGGGCGUCCUGUCCUUUAGCGCGAGCCUCACCUUGCGCUGUCUGUGCGUUUAGCUAAUAUUGCACUCAAGGGCUCCAUCACAGCAAGGUCAGGCUGACAUAUUUAAUCAGUGAGACAUGAUAACACAAAAUAUUAAACAUGGCCGCUAAUCAAGCAAUGAUGCUGAGAUCUCUGAGGAAGGAGUCCGCGGGAGGCCUUACAAAUUAUUCGCCGUUAUGACGCCUCGUCAAGCGAGCGGGAAAGCUGCCAAUCACAAGCUUCCAACUCAUGCUUUCUGCCAGUUUUGUAAAUAGUUUCCCUUUUCUUUGUUGUGUUGUUUUGCUGAACGCUGAUGCAACAGAAUAAAUGUGUUAAACGGCUUUGAGUGGCGCUUGUUUGUCAAUUUUACAUGAAAGUGCUCCGAUCGCGCUGAUCCCGUCACGGUAACUCGGGAGUAUUAUCUUAAUAACGUCUCAGGAUUAUUGUAGCUUAAUCUCAUAAAAGAAAAUGCCAUUACGCUCGCUGCUGGAUCCGAAAGAAGAUUGCAUUUUUAUUUCCUAUAUCAGUCAUAGCAUAUUUGAGGCUUGAACAGGCUUUAUGAUUGCACAUUAGUUUGCUGUUUUUGACUCUUUUGUGUUGCUAGUUUUUAUUGGCUUGUUUUAUGGCAGUUAAAUCCCAUCAUUUCUUUUUCUUUUUUUAAUCUUUCCCAUAUCUCUAUUGUUUCUUAAAAUAUGAUUCACUUAUAGAGCGACAUUGUUCGUGUUUGAUUUCAGUCCAGCUCUGUGUUUGUGUGCCGGAUCCUUCAGACCCUCAUCUGUCUGGAAACAGAGUGUUUAACACGACUUGACUAAUUACCGGAGAGUUCUGCUCUGGAGCUCAGCAUGAACGCAUGUACACAGCAUGCUUAUGC